This 429-nucleotide ribosomal RNA is filed under the name Bacillota bacterium. Its description in RNAcentral is "Firmicutes bacterium partial 16S ribosomal RNA". It matches the Rfam family "Bacterial small subunit ribosomal RNA", at positions 355 to 776 of the family's 1533-position model. The record is from RNAcentral. Lineage: Bacteria; Bacillati; Bacillota.
UGGGGAAUUUUGGACAAUGGGGGCAACCCUGAUCCAGCAAUGCCGCGUGUGUGAAGAAGGCCUUCGGGUUGUAAAGCACUUUUGUCCGGGAAGAAAUCGCACCUGAUAAUACCGGGUGUGGAUGACGGUACCGGAAGAAUAAGGACCGGCUAACUACGUGCCAGCAGCCGCGGUAAUACGUAGGGUCCAAGCGUUAAUCGGAAUUACUGGGCGUAAAGCGUGCGCAGGCUGUUGUGCAAGACCGAUGUGAAAUCCCCGGGCUUAACCUGGGAAUUGAAUUUGUGACUGCACGGCUAGAGUGUGUCAGAGGGGGGUAGAAUUCCACGUGUAGCAGUGAAAUGCGUAGAGAUGUGGAGGAAUACCGAUGGCGAAGGCAGCCCCCUGGGAUAACACGGACGCUCAUGCACGAAAGCGUGGGGAGCAAACAGG